Molecule: ribosomal RNA, 774 nt
Filed under: uncultured Neocallimastigales
Lineage: Eukaryota; Fungi; Neocallimastigomycota; Neocallimastigomycetes; Neocallimastigales
Description: partial large subunit ribosomal RNA
Rfam family: Eukaryotic large subunit ribosomal RNA
Source: RNAcentral
UACGACUACAUAUCAGGCAUAUCAAUAAGCGGAGGAAAAGAAACUAACAAGGAUUCCCUUAGUAACGGCGAGUGAAGCGGGAAGAGCUCAAAUUUGAAAUCUUCAAGGUUCUACCUUGACGAAUUGUAGUUUAAAGAAGUGUUUUCUGUUGGAGGAGUAGCAAAAGUUCCUUGGAAUGGGACAUCAUAGAGGGUGAGAAUCCCGUAUUUGGUUAUUCUUUCUAGCUUUGUGAUACACUUUCAAAGAGUCGGAUUGUUUGGGAAUGCAGUCCAAAAUGGGUGGUAAAUUUCAUCUAAAGCUAAAUAUUGGCGAGAGACCGAUAGCGAACAAGUACCGUGAGGGAAAGAUGAAAAGAACUUUGAAAAGAGAGUUAAACAGUACGUGAAAUUGUCAAAAGGGAAGCGUUUGACACCAGUGUUGUUUAGUUGAAAAUCAAUUCAAUAGUUUUUGAUUCUAAGUAGUAUUGACUUCAUCAGCUUGCUGCUUUCUUCUCAGAAAUUAUUGAAUGCACUUUUCAGUUAACAAGUCAACAUCAAUUUCUUUUGUUGUAAAAGGGUAAGAGGAAGGUGGCUUGCGCUUCGGCUCAAGUGUUUAUAGCCUUUUAUCUCUGCAAUCGGAGAGAUUGAGGUCUGCAGCGUAGAUCCUUCGGGGUUAGAUACAUUGGUGCUAAGCUAUAGCCUUGUAUAGACAACUUGUUGACUAUGCUCAGUCAUGUAGCUUACUCGCUGAUGCUAUUUUACCUACGCUUAGGAUGUUGAUCUACAGAGCGAGAGU